RNAcentral lists this unclassified non-coding RNA (1753 nucleotides) under Caenorhabditis elegans. RNAcentral describes it as "Non-coding transcript of protein-coding gene Y51H4A.25c". The record is from RNAcentral. Lineage: Eukaryota; Metazoa; Nematoda; Chromadorea; Rhabditida; Rhabditidae.
AUGCUCCAAAAAACGGCCCUAAUUAUUGGGGCGUUAUCACUGAUCGCAGGGGCGUUUUCAGAUGAUUGUCCAUCGUUUUUCACUAAGGAUGACAAUGGAACGUGCACUAUUCGUCAGUGCCUGAAUGGAGGAUACUUGGAUGUUUCCAAACAAAUUUGCAUCUGCCCUUCCGGUUACCUAGGAAUUCAUUGUGAAGCUGAAAAUAUCCAAAAUGCCACGAAUGAAACACUUCCAUGAACCCUUUGACGAAAAAGAAGCUUUGAUCGAUGAAAAUUGUAACGAUGUUGAAAUUGUACCAACCUUCAAAUAUCCAAAAAGAAAACGAACGUUUCCAACAGUAACAAAGCUUCCAAAGUAUCUGCUACUAUUUUUUGGAAGCACAGUAAUAUGUUUGUGCAUUUUUUAUAUAUCGAGACCUCAGUUAAAUGACAACUUUGACCCAAAUAUAUCAGACAAGCGAAAAAUUCGAAUUUAUGAGGAUAUUAUUGAUGCUAUGAGAAAUCGAAAAAAGUCUGGGAAUUUUUAUAUAAAAAGACCAGAAACACAACAUGUUGAUUGUGGAAGAAUAUUGAACGGAGAUAAAGAGUACUUACAAACAUUUUCUAACAAUAAUCGAAUUCCACUCAUCAAAAACUCAUAUUUGAACAUGUCAUGCUCAUCUCUUCAGAGCAGAAUUCAACCUGAACAAUUUAAUUUCAAAACCUUUAAAUCUGGAAGUGUUGCUUUCGCUAGAAUCGUGUUUGAGGAUUACGAGUUUAUCGAGAAACAAGUUCAAAUGUCUUGGCACCCGGAUAACGUAUUUUGUUUUGUUAUCGAUACAAAAUCAUCGAAGGAAUUUAAAACAAAUAUGAAAAAAUUAGCUGAUUGCUUUGAAAAUAUAAUUGUACUACCAUCUAAACAUAGUUUUGAUAGUAGUGGGCAUAAUCAAAAUCUUGGCCAUACCGAAUGCAUGCAAUCUCUUCUUCAAUUCGAAAAUUGGACUUAUUUACUACUUCUUCAAAACCAUGACGUCAUUUCCAAAUCUGUCUACGAAUUGGCUAGAAUUUUUGAAAUACUCGGAGGAGCCAAUGAUGUGAAUAUUGGAAAAGAAAUUGAUCAGAGGCGGGUUCCAGGACUGAAAUGGGAUCCAAAAAACUUGAAGUUGUUUCGAAACGAAUCGGGACUCGAUGAUGAACUUUUGAAGAAACCAAUGAAAAUAGCCAGUGGAUAUGUACAAGCUUCAUUGUCAAGAGCAGCUGUUGAAUGGUUAAUCAAUACAGUGGAUUUAACAUUAUUCAUCAACCAGUUUGAUCGAACGAAAUAUGGUGGAGACGAGCAGCUGAUUUCCAGUUUUCAAGUGAAUUCACAAUUUGAAAUGCCUGGACACUUUACGGACGAGUGUUCCAAAUAUCGUUACGGGCAUGAUCAAAUCUCAAGAAUGACUCAAUGGGCUGGUGGUGAUGUAAAAAGGUGUGCCUCAAAAACCAUACGUCAUGGGAUUUGUCUCAUCGGAAUUGAAGAUUUCAGAGCUGUUUCUGAAAUGCCAGUUAUUAUGUUCAAUAAGAUGUUGCCAUCGUUUGACUACUCCAUAAUUGAUUGCACAGCUGAACUUCUUUUCAAUCGAACGUUCCUGAAUCAGACAAAUAUUAAAUUAAAUGAAAAGUACUAUGAAGAAAUGGUUACGGUUAUUUAUCACAAAGAUCACAAAAAUCCGGGUUAUCAUCUGAAUUGCACCCCCAGUCAUCAAUAUUGGAAAUAUGAAAAUUAUUUGUAA